UCGGUCGCUGCCGCCAUUGGCGGGAGAGGAAAGUCCGGGCUUCACAGGGCAGGAUGCCGGCUAACGGCCGGCCGGGGUGACCUGAGGGAAAGUGCAACAGAAAGUAUACCGCACCGCUUGCGGUGUAAGGGUGAAAUGGCAGGGUAAGAGCCUACCGCGUCGCCGGUAACGGAGACGGCAGUGUAAACCCCAUCCGAAGCAAGACCGAAACGAAGCGCUAUGAGGCGGCCCGCCCAGCUUCAGGUAGGUUGCUUGAGGCGUCCGGCAACGGGCGUCCUAGACAGAUGACCGAACAAGACAGAACCCGGCUUACAGCCGUUCUUU
This 324-nucleotide RNase P RNA is filed under the name bovine gut metagenome. Its description in RNAcentral is "Bacterial RNase P class A". It matches the Rfam family "Bacterial RNase P class A". Rfam says of the family: Ribonuclease P (RNase P) is a ubiquitous endoribonuclease, found in archaea, bacteria and eukarya as well as chloroplasts and mitochondria. The record is from RNAcentral.